RNAcentral lists this ribosomal RNA (253 nucleotides) under uncultured bacterium. RNAcentral's name for it is "partial 16S ribosomal RNA". It matches the Rfam family "Bacterial small subunit ribosomal RNA", at positions 524 to 776 of the family's 1533-position model. The record is from RNAcentral.
UACGAAGGGGGCUAGCGUUGCUCGGAAUCACUGGGCGUAAAGGGUGCGUAGGCGGGUCUUUAAGUCAGGGGUGAAAUCCUGGAGCUCAACCCCAGAACUGCCUUUGAUACUGAGGAUCUUGAGUUCGGGAGAGGUGAGUGGAACUGCGAGUGUAGAGGUGAAAUUCGUAGAUAUUCGCAAGAACACCAGUGGCGAAGGCGGCUCACUGGCCCGAUACUGACGCUGAGGCACGAAAGCGUGGGGAGCAAACAGG